RNAcentral lists this ribosomal RNA (253 nucleotides) under uncultured bacterium. Its description in RNAcentral is "partial 16S ribosomal RNA". It matches the Rfam family "Bacterial small subunit ribosomal RNA", at positions 524 to 776 of the family's 1533-position model. The record is from RNAcentral.
UACGAAGGGGGCUAGCGUUGUUCGGAAUCACUGGGCGUAAAGCGCACGUAGGCGGAUGUGCCAGUCAGGGGUGAAAUCCCGGAGCUCAACUUCGGAACUGCCUCUGAUACAGCACGUCUUGAGUCCGGAAGAGGUGGGUGGAAUUCCUAGUGUAGAGGUGAAAUUCGUAGAUAUUUGGAAGAACACCGGUGGCGAAGGCGGCCCACUGGUCCGGUACUGACGCUGAGGUGCGAAAGCGUGGGGAGCAAACAGG